CCUACGGGAGGCAGCAGUGAGGAAUAUUGGUCAAUGGACGAGAGUCUGAACCAGCCAAGUAGCGUGAAGGAUGACUGCCCUAUGGGUUGUAAACUUCUUUUAUAUGGGAAUAAAACGUUCCACGUGUGGGAUUUUGUAUGUACCAUAUGAAUACGGAUCGGCUACCUCCGGGCCAGCAGCCGCGGUAAUACGGAGGAGCCGAGCGUUAUCCGGAUGUAUUGGGUUUAAAGGGUGCGUAGGUGGAUUGUUAAGUCAGUUGUGAAAGUUUGCGGCUCAACCGUAAAAUUGCAGUUGAAACUGGCAGGCUUGAGUACAGGAGAGGUGGGCGGAAUUCGUGGUGUAGCGGUGAAAGGCUUAGAUAUCACGAAGAACUCCGAUGGCGAAGGCAGUUCACUGGACUGCAACUGACACUGAGGCUCGAAAGUGUGGGUAUCAAACAGGAUUAGAUACCCCAGUAGUC
Molecule: ribosomal RNA, 460 nt
Filed under: uncultured bacterium
Lineage: Bacteria
Description: partial 16S ribosomal RNA
Rfam family: Bacterial small subunit ribosomal RNA
Source: RNAcentral